Molecule: ribosomal RNA, 443 nt
Filed under: uncultured bacterium
Lineage: Bacteria
Description: partial 16S ribosomal RNA
Rfam family: Bacterial small subunit ribosomal RNA
Source: RNAcentral
CCUACGGGUGGCAGCAGUGGGGAAUAUUGGGCAAUGGAGGCAACUCUGACCCAGCAACGCCGCGUGAAUGAUGAAGGUCUUCGGAUUGUAAAGUUCUGUGAUGGGGGAUGAACACAAUGACGGUACCCCAAUAGCAAGCCACGGCUAACUACGUGCCAGCAGCCGCGGUAAUACGUAGGUGGCAAGCGUUAUCCGGAAUGACUGGGCGUAAAGGGUGCGUAGGUGGUUUAGUAAGUUGGCGGUGUAAUUCCGGGGCUCAACCUCGGCGCUACCGCCAAAACGAUUAGACUAGAGUGCAGGAGGGGUAAGCGGAAUUCCUAGUGUAGCGGUGAAAUGCGUAGAUAUUAGGAAGAACACCAGUGGCGAAGGCGGCUUGCUGGACAGUAACUGACGUUGAGGCUCGAAAGCGUGGGGAGCAAACAGGAUUAGAUACCCGAGUAGUC